ACACCUCAACUCUCAUGGUUUUCCGUGACGAGCUUGGACUUUGGGGGUUUGUUGGCCCAUGGUUAACUCCUCUCAAAUGGAUCAGCUUGCCGGUGUUUGGUGGCAUCACAGGUGUGAUAACUAUCUACGCUUGUUGUUGUUGACCAGGUAUCCUCCGGUUUCGGAGGUUCGCCGGAGCUUAUAAAUGUCUCUCCUCAGUGAAGACAACUAUUCAAA
This 216-nucleotide unclassified non-coding RNA is filed under the name uncultured Tomentella. Its description in RNAcentral is "sequence contains ITS2". The record is from RNAcentral. Lineage: Eukaryota; Fungi; Basidiomycota; Agaricomycetes; Thelephorales; Thelephoraceae.